CUGGUAGUGGGGGAUAACGUCCGGAAACGGACGCUAAUACCGCAUACUUCCUACGGGAGAAAGCAGGGGACCUUCGGGCCUUGCGCUAUCAGAUGAGCCUAGGUCGGAUUAGCUAUUUGGUGGGGUAAUGGCUCACCAUGGCGAGUAUCCGUAACUGGUCUGAUAGGAUGAUCAGUCACACUGGAACUGAGACACGGUCCAGAUCCUACGGGACGCAGCAGUGGGGAAUAUUGGACAAUGGGCGAAAGCCUGAUCCAGCCAUGCCGCGUGUGUGAAGAAUGUCUUCGGAUUGUAAAGCACUUUAAGUUGGGAGGAAGGGCAGUAAAUUAAUACUUUGCUGUUUUGACGUUACCGAAAGA
RNAcentral lists this ribosomal RNA (359 nucleotides) under uncultured bacterium. Its description in RNAcentral is "bacterial SSU rRNA". It matches the Rfam family "Bacterial small subunit ribosomal RNA", at positions 130 to 485 of the family's 1533-position model. The record is from RNAcentral.